GCCCGGGUGGCGGAAUGGCAGACGCGGUGGACUCAAAAUCCACUGUCCGAAAGGGCGUGCGGGUUCGAGUCCCGCCCCGGGCACCA
This 86-nucleotide transfer RNA is filed under the name Acidimicrobiales bacterium. RNAcentral's name for it is "tRNA-Leu". It matches the Rfam family "tRNA". Rfam says of the family: Transfer RNA (tRNA) molecules are approximately 80 nucleotides in length. Their secondary structure includes four short double-helical elements and three loops (D, anti-codon, and T loops). Further hydrogen bonds mediate the characteristic L-shaped molecular structure. tRNAs have two regions of fundamental functional importance: the anti-codon, which is responsible for specific mRNA codon recognition, and the 3' end, to which the tRNAs corresponding amino acid is attached (by aminoacyl-tRNA synthetases). tRNAs cope with the degeneracy of the genetic code in two manners: having more than one tRNA (with a specific anti-codon) for a particular amino acid; and 'wobble' base-pairing, i.e. permitting non-standard base-pairing at the 3rd anti-codon position. The record is from RNAcentral. Lineage: Bacteria; Bacillati; Actinomycetota; Acidimicrobiia; Acidimicrobiales.